GUUGUUCCCAACACAUAUCACAGUGAGUACACUUCAGUGACUAUCUUUGGUUAUUAUCUUUUUAUUAUGUGUUAAAGCUUCUUAGUUUAUUUUAUAGAUAUAAAACAUGCAUUUGUAUCUAUUGUAUAUAUAUAUAUAUAUUAAACUUCCAGUGAUAUUGAAAUAAUUGAAAGUUUUGUAAAUUUGAGAUACACUUUACUUGGGUGUGCACUUUUUUUGCGCCUUGCUCCUUAGGCGAGUGCACAUUUAGCCUUUGAUUACCGUGGCUCACACUGUUGGCAUACCAGUGCAAUCAUGUAGACUCGGUAUUCCAUGGUGAAAUAUGAGAGGAAAUGGAUGUGAGAGUAAUUUCCCGUCAUAUCCCCUCUUCAAAUAGUACAUUAUACUGAGGUAAGCAAGUUAAUUAUUUUGCGUAGAAAGACCGUGAACAACGGAAAAUUUUACAGAAAUGAAGAAAUAAUGAGAACAAUGCAUUUUGUGUUAUUUUAUUGUCAAGGGUUCUAGCAUUUGUAAUGUUAGAUUUGGGAUUGGGAAGUCUGAUGCCACAUUGAGUAAUGUUACCUGAAUUAAAUAAUAUAGAUAAAUGGUAUGAAAACAUCAAUAAGCGUCUUUGUUUCAGUUAUGCACUUUCUGUUUUCUGUUAUCAUAUGCUGUUAAAUUCUGCAUAAAGUUUAUAUAUUCUUGUGUAUUUUCCUCAUUGUGUGUAAAAUGCUGUUUUCUAGUUUUGGAAUUUUUUAUUGGCAUUUAGCAUUGAAAGAAAGCUGCCUCUUAGGUACAUGGAUGAAAUCGUCUUUGGCAAUGCU
This 803-nucleotide unclassified non-coding RNA is filed under the name Hevea brasiliensis (rubber tree). The record is from RNAcentral. Lineage: Eukaryota; Viridiplantae; Streptophyta; Magnoliopsida; Malpighiales; Euphorbiaceae.